RNAcentral lists this ribosomal RNA (763 nucleotides) under Entoloma chytrophilum. RNAcentral's name for it is "partial large subunit ribosomal RNA". It matches the Rfam family "Eukaryotic large subunit ribosomal RNA", at positions 103 to 852 of the family's 3401-position model. Lineage: Eukaryota; Fungi; Basidiomycota; Agaricomycetes; Agaricales; Entolomataceae. The record is from RNAcentral.
AAAAGCUCAAAUUUAAAAUCUGGUAGCCUUUGGUUGCCCGAGUUGUAAUCUAGAGAAGCGCUAUCCGCGUUGGACCGUGUAUAAGUCUCCUGGAAUGGAGCGUCAUAGAGGGUGAGAAUCCCGUCUUUGACACGGACUACCAAGGCUUUGUGAUACGCUCUCAAAGAGUCGAGUUGUUUGGGAAUGCAGCUCUAAAUGGGUGGUAAAUUCCAUCUAAAGCUAAAUAUUGGCGAGAGACCGAUAGCGAACAAGUACCGUGAGGGAAAGAUGAAAAGAACUUUGGAAAGAGAGUUAAACAGUACGUGAAAUUGUUGAAAGGGAAACGCUUGAAGUCAGUCGCGUUGUCCAGGGAUCAACCUUGCUUUUGCUUGGUGUACUUUCUGGUUAACGGGUCAACAUCAAUUUUGACCAGUGGAAAAAGAUUAAAGGAAUGUGGCAUCUUCGGAUGUGUUAUAGCCUUUGGUCGUAUACAUUGGUUGGGAUUGAGGAACUCAGCACGCCGCAAGGCCGGGUUUUUAACCACGUUCGUGCUUAGGAUGUUGGCAUAAUGGCUUUAAUCGACCCGUCUUGAAACACGGACCAAGGAGUCUAACAUGCCUGCGAGUAUUUGGGUGGAAGACCCAAGUGCGUAAUGAAAGUGAAAGUUGGGAUCUCUGUCGUGGAGAGCACCGACGCCCGGACCAGACCUUUUGUGACGGAUCCGCGGUAGAGCAUGUAUGUUGGGACCCGAAAGAUGGUGAACUAUGCCUGAAUAGGGUGAAGC